RNAcentral lists this ribosomal RNA (77 nucleotides) under Olea europaea subsp. europaea. RNAcentral describes it as "PK-G12rRNA". Lineage: Eukaryota; Viridiplantae; Streptophyta; Magnoliopsida; Lamiales; Oleaceae. The record is from RNAcentral.
AGGUUUCCUUGGGCCAGGAGGAGAUUGACCUUCGAGUGCAAAGGCCAAAGCGAGCUUGACUGCAAGACCCACCAGUC